GGCUCAAUGGUCUAGUGGUAUGAUUCGCCCUUCGGGUUCUUUACCAACCCUUGCGCAAAGCGUGAAUGGGCGAGGUCUCGGGUUCGAAUCCCGAUUGAGCCC
Molecule: transfer RNA, 102 nt
Filed under: Colletotrichum godetiae
Lineage: Eukaryota; Fungi; Ascomycota; Sordariomycetes; Glomerellales; Glomerellaceae
Also listed under: 2 other names
Description: tRNA-Pro
Rfam family: tRNA
About the family: Transfer RNA (tRNA) molecules are approximately 80 nucleotides in length. Their secondary structure includes four short double-helical elements and three loops (D, anti-codon, and T loops).
Source: RNAcentral